GCGUGGUGUUACAGUGAACCCGUAUAGACGAAAAUUGCAUUUACCAUUUAUUGCUUGACUAAUAAUAAAAACAUAGAAGAUUCUCGGUAACUCCGUGUCACCUUCUGUCCUGAUGCCAGAUUCGAUUGACGCAACGCUAACAAUUGGUGAAAAAUUGUCUGGCCGAUUGGCCAUUGCUUGUCGUCGGAUGGUGUGCCUCACAAAUCCUGACCGGUCAACUAAAAAACUUUGGAAUACAGACAACACGUGUGAAGUAUACGAUGAUGAAUGCAAUUUUGAAACUGAUCAGAUAAUUUGUGAUAUGACGGAAGGUGCUGGUUCAGAAGGUGAGAUAUUGCGGCCGGACUGGACAGGGGAUGAUGAAAGAGAAGGUGAAGAAGAUGAUGAGGCAGAGGAAGAGGGAGAGGAAGAAGACAGCCGUCCUCCAGUGGGUCAACUGCUAAGACCCAAACUCUUCUUGGUCUGAGCUGAUGGUGCCGCUCCACCACCCUCAACCGCCUCCCUCUUCAGAGGGUCGGCUUCUGUUGGCUCCAUCAUCUCCUCAGCAAUGCAUCACUGCUCAAACAGACCUAAACAUAGAGCAAAUGUGGUCUAGGGGUUAGAGAAAAGGACACAAACCUGCACUGCCCUUAUUUUUGACACAGUACCAAAGCUAUUCAGGGCUGCCUGUGGGACUCCAGCCAUCUCACUCCAAACCUUUUCAAGUUUUCCUUCAGAAAAUUUUUAACAGAACAAUAAUAUGCUUAACCCAUGACCUAACACGCACUGUUUAUAUCCUGUGGCAGAAUUCCAGUAUUUCAUUCUAGCUAUUCACCCUGACUCCAUAUGGCUCUGGAUUCAAUCUGUAAACAAUGAACUACUAUAUUUGACUAAAUUACUCAUCCAUGUCAAUAUAGCGAGUUAAUUUCGUGAGACGAUCCAUUGAACGCCUAUGCAUUGGUCAAGCUACCAAAACUCCUAGCUAGCUAGCUACCUGCAAAAAAUUAACGUUGGCAUAGCUAAUCUAGCCAUAGUAUGUUAGCUACGUAACGUUACUGGCUACAACAUGUAUUCAUUGGUAUUCUCUCAGACAGUACUAGCUAGCUAGUAGUGUCAGCUGUCACCAUUCCUAUUCCAGCU
Molecule: long non-coding RNA, 1119 nt
Organism: Oncorhynchus tshawytscha (Chinook salmon)
Lineage: Eukaryota; Metazoa; Chordata; Actinopteri; Salmoniformes; Salmonidae
Source: Ensembl